AACAGCCCAUCUCCUAAUCCCACCGCCAGACCGGCGGAAGGGAAAUUUGGCGUAUUGGAGAGACACUUCCGUGUUCCGACUCCGGUGCAAGUCCCCCUGACUGGGGCUCUUACCCCGAGAGGGUGCAAGGCCCGUAGCUGCCGGAAGGCGGUUCGCGGAUGUCCUCUCCUGGGAGUCGGGUUGCUUGAGAGUGCAGCCCUAAUCGGGUGGUAAACUCCAUCUAAGGCUAAAUACGACCUGGAGACCGAUAGCGAACAAGUACCGUGAGGGAAAGUUGAAAAGGACUUUGAAGAGAGAGUUCAAGAGUACGUGAAACCGUUCGGAGGCAAACGAGUGGGCCCUCGAAGUGAGAAGGCGGGGGGACUCAGCCGAACGCCGUUGGCCUGCCGUGCAGUUGCGCUUCCCUCUCGGGACGCGGCUGCGCGGUGCACGGCCGAGGCGGGCGGCGCAUUUCUUCCCGUCCUCUGACGCUGCGACCGGUCGGGUGCGCCACGAGCAGUCGGCCUUACACGCGGGAGACGGCAGGUAGCCGGGAAAGUGCUUCCGCGCUUUCUCCGGUGUUUAGCCAUCCCGUCGUCGUGCAGCCGUUCACCCGACCGCAGGAUUCGGCCCUUAGGGGCCAGGCCGUGCCCUCCCCUCUGGGGAUCGGCUCUCGGCCCGGAAGGGAGGCCGUCGUUUUUCCCCCCUUUUCACCCUAGGUGUGGGGGGGACGACGGCGCCCGUUGGCCGGGCCGUUACCGAGCGGGCGCAGGCGGUCCGCAGCGAGUAGGUCGGUCACCCACUCGACNNNNNNNNNCACGGACCAAGGAGUUUAACAUGCACGCGAGUCAUUGGGUCGUGAACAGGCCCAAAGGCGCAAUGAAAGUGAAGGGCGGCUUCACGCCGUCUGCGUUGGGAUCCGGGGACCUCGGUCUUCGGCGCACCAACGGCUCGUCCGAGCCGCCGCGUCGGCCGGGCGAAGCUGGAGCGUGCACGUUGAGACCCGAAAGAUGGUGAACUAUGGCUGGGCAGGACGAAGCCAGAGGAAACUCUGGUGGAGGUCCGCAGCGGUUCUGACGUGCAAAUCGAUCGUCAGACCUGGCUAUAGGGGCGAAAGACUAAUCGAACCAUCUAGUAGCUGGUUCCCUCCGAAGUUUCCCUCAGGAUAGCUGGCGCUCGGGAGGAAGCAGUCUCAUCCGGUAAAGCGAAUGAUUAGAGGCCUUGGGGCCGAAAAGACCUCAACCUAUUCUCAAACUUUCAAUGGGUGAGAAGUCCGGUUUGCUCGAUUGAAGCCUGGACGAUUUCGGAUGCGAGUGCCCAGUGGGCCACUUUUGGUAAGCAGAACUGGCGCUGUGGGAUGAACCAAACGACGGGUUAAGGGGCCCGAUGCAGGACGCUCAUGAGAACCCAUGAAAGGUGUUGGUUGCUAUAGACAGCAGGACGGUGGCCAUGGAAGUCGGAAUCCGCCAAGGAGUGUGUAACAACUCACCUGCCGAAGCAACUAGCCCUGAAAAUGGAUGGCGCUUCAGCGUCGACCCCAUACCCGUCCGCCGCGGCGGAGAUGCGAUUGCGUUAUGCCGCGGUGAGUAGGAGGGCGCGGGGGCGCGCGUGGAAGGUGCCGGGCGUGAGCCCGCCUGGAGCCGCCCCCGGUGCAGAUCUUGGUGGUAGUAGCAAAUACUCAAGUGAGAACCUUGAGGACUGAGGUGGAGAAGGGUUCCAUGUGAACAGCAGUUGAACAUGGGUCAGUCGGUCCUAAGGGAUGUCCGAAAGGAUUUCCGAAGGGGGGACCUGUUUCACGGUGUCUCCCCCAAGACCGAAAGGGAAUCGGGUUAAUAUUCCCGAACCCGAACACGGAGAUCGGUCCUUUCGGGGACACGUGCGGUAACGCAAACGACCUCGGAGACGUCGACGGGUGUCCCGGGAAGAGUUGUCUUUUCUUCGUAAGGGUUCGGCUCCCUGGAAUCGGCUCGCCCGGAGAUAGGGAUGCUGAAACCGUAAAGCACCGCGCCUCUUGUGGUGUCCGGAGCGCUCCCGUCGGUCCUUGAAAAUCCGAGCGAGAGUUGGUGAUUUUCGUGUCGGCCCGUACCCAUAUCCGCAGCAGGUC
Molecule: ribosomal RNA, 2083 nt
Filed under: Baculigerus sp. DNA104054_3
Lineage: Eukaryota; Metazoa; Arthropoda; Arachnida; Opiliones; Escadabiidae
Description: eukaryotic LSU rRNA
Rfam family: Eukaryotic large subunit ribosomal RNA
Source: RNAcentral